RNAcentral lists this unclassified non-coding RNA (880 nucleotides) under Hevea brasiliensis (rubber tree). Lineage: Eukaryota; Viridiplantae; Streptophyta; Magnoliopsida; Malpighiales; Euphorbiaceae. The record is from RNAcentral.
CAAAAAAUUGAUCUUAGUUCAUGAUUUCUACAAUAAUACACAUUAGCAAGCAACUGAAUUGACUAAAUUUAGAACAACGUAACCAUAUUUACUCGUCAAUUAUCUUCACAACGAGUACUACAUAUAAUUUGUAAUUGCAACAUUCAACAGAAAUUAGAUAUCGUCCAAAGAAAAGAGAUAAAAACCUCUUAAAACUUAAAAUCAAAAUCCUUUAGGCGCAGUCUCCUUCAAAACCACCGGUUCUUCAGCCAUUGACAAGCAAUACUUAGCAAUCUCUCUGAACUUAGGCACACUCCUAAGAUCAACCUUAGUACCAUCUUUCAAGGUAAUCACAAUAUCACCCCAUUCGCCUAUAAAACGCGGCACGACUUGUACAUCCUUAAUCACCUUGUAAGAGAAAUCACUCCUGUCUUGACCUGUCAACCCUGAAAUCACUGUCACACGUAGGUUCGUGAACCUGUAUCUCAGAUAAAAGGCCCUCGACACUGCAGCUAGAGUCAAUGGUAGCCAAAGCAGAGUGAAACCCAGUAGCAGAUUGGCUACGAGGUCCCCGUAGUGUGCUCCACCGUCGAAAAAGAUUGUUUCUUCCUUAGGUUUUUUUGAGGGGGUGGUGGUAAUGGGUUUGUUGGUCGGAGAGGAGAUGUGAAGCUUGGUAAUUGGCCUGCGAUUUUUAGAGGGAAAGGUAGGGAAGAGGAUUUUGGAGGAGAGAUAGAGAGAUUGGUGGGUGACGGAGGUGGUUGCGGUGGUGGUGGUGGUGGUGGUAGUAGUUUAAGAGGAGGGAGUUAGGGGCAGGGUUUCCAAAAGACAGUGGUUUACUCCGGACCUGUGAGAUGGAGUAUCGGAUGUUGGAUUAUUGACUGGUUUUGAGAGACAACCAGAU